GAUGAACGCUGGCGGCGUGCCUAAUACAUGCAAGUCGAGCGAAAAGACGAGGAGUUUGCUCCUCUGACGAUUGGCGAACGCGUGAGUAAAACAUGUGGAUAACCCCCUUAUCAGAGUGGGAUCACUUGGAGACAGGGGCGAUAACACCGGAUAAUAUCUUGAACCACAUGGGUCAAUAGUGAAAGACGGCUUUGGUGUCAGUUAUAGAUGGAUCUGCGCCGCAUUGGCUAGUUGGUAAGGUAACGGCUUACCAAGGCGACGAUGCGUAGCCGACCUGAGAGGGUGAUCGGCCACACUGGAACUGAGACACGGACCAGACUCCUACGGGAGGCAGCAGUAGGGAAUCUUCGGCAAUGGGCGAAAGCCUGACGGAGCAACGCCGCGUGUGUGAUGAAGGUCUUCGGAUCGUAAAGCUCUGUUAUGAGGUAAGAACAACUUUGGAAUGAAAUGUGCAGGGCGUGACGGUACCGGAUCAAAAAGCACCGGCUAACUACGUG
RNAcentral lists this ribosomal RNA (497 nucleotides) under uncultured bacterium. RNAcentral's name for it is "partial 16S ribosomal RNA". It matches the Rfam family "Bacterial small subunit ribosomal RNA", at positions 28 to 507 of the family's 1533-position model. The record is from RNAcentral.